GACCACCUUUUGGGUUAAGGCCAUACGGACAGCCGGGUCAACUGCCG
RNAcentral lists this small RNA (47 nucleotides) under uncultured Blautia sp. RNAcentral describes it as "Streptococcus sRNA SpF59 (ldcC RNA)". It matches the Rfam family "Streptococcus sRNA SpF59 (ldcC RNA)". The record is from RNAcentral. Lineage: Bacteria; Bacillati; Bacillota; Clostridia; Lachnospirales; Lachnospiraceae.